GUUUUUUUCUUCUCUAGCUGGCAGAGAUCGCUGAUAGUAAGGAUCACGUCUUCCCAGUGACGGAUGGAUUUGAGGCCUUGCAGGGUGUCAUUGAUUCAAUCCUAAAGAGGUCCUGUAUUGAGAUUCUGGCAGCAGAGCCCUCUAGUGUCUGUGCUGGAGAGUCCUUCCAGGUAGUGGUGAGAAGCAACGUUUUCCUCCACGCACGAAAUGUUGAUGAAGUCCUACGCAGCUUCAGAAUCAACAACGCCCUCACGAAAAGUGAGUGAAACAUGACUGAGCAAUAGUGAAGACAACACAGUCUCACUGCAUUUUCUGUUUCUGAAUGCCUGACUGUUCAAAGCUGAUCACUCAGUUCCUUUGCAACAAGAACAGCUGGA
This is a long non-coding RNA of Monopterus albus (swamp eel), 377 nucleotides long. RefSeq lists it as uncharacterized. The record is from RefSeq and is a predicted model, not a curated record. Lineage: Eukaryota; Metazoa; Chordata; Actinopteri; Synbranchiformes; Synbranchidae. The transcript is spliced from 3 exons.